RNAcentral lists this ribosomal RNA (428 nucleotides) under uncultured bacterium. RNAcentral describes it as "bacterial SSU rRNA". It matches the Rfam family "Archaeal small subunit ribosomal RNA", at positions 339 to 776 of the family's 1478-position model. The record is from RNAcentral.
UUAGGAAUCAUUUGCAAUGCGCGCAAGCGUGACAAUUUGAGCCAGAGUGUUCCCCAUAGAGGAACUUUUGCCAAAUGUAAAAAGUUUAGGCGAAUAAGGACUGGGCAAGACUAGUGCCAGCCGCCGCGGUAAUACUAGCUGUCCGAGUCGCAGCCACAAUUAUUGGGUCUAAACAUCCGUAGCUUGCUUGAUAAGUUUCUUGUGAAAUCCUGUCUCUCAAGGGCAGGGCGUGCAAGAAGUACUGUUGAGCUAGAGACUGGGAGACGUGAGAAGUACGUUUAAAGUAGUGGUAAAAUACGUUAAUCUUAAGCGGACUAACAAUAGCGAAGGCAUCUCACGAGAACAGUUCUGACAGUAAGGGAUGAAGGCUAGGAGCGCAAAAUGGAUUAGAUACCCAAGUAGUCCCUGAGCGGGCUGGCAAGGCGCAU